Molecule: long non-coding RNA, 376 nt
Organism: Oncorhynchus gorbuscha (pink salmon)
Lineage: Eukaryota; Metazoa; Chordata; Actinopteri; Salmoniformes; Salmonidae
Exons: 3
Source: RefSeq, a predicted model, not a curated record
GCUGAAGCUGAAGCUUCUGUGUAAAUUCUGUGACGUUGAGUCUACCAGCUGCAUGGGCACACUGUUUAACCAACUGUAGCAUCACAGCCAUCUGCCCCCAUCCAGAGGACGUGUGUGUCAGCAUUUGGAGGAAGAAAGACGACAAUGUCACCAUAGACACGAUAUGCCACAACCCAGCCCAUAAGCUGCAUGGUCUGGUGCUGGAGGACUAUAACAACAGCAAGUGUGAGAUGAGGGAGAGAAAUGACAUGGGCUCCUAGUUCUUCAUCUGCUCCUGCUCCGAGGACGAGUGCAAUGACCACCUUUUCUUCCCCCCCCUGGCGGCAGGUAGCCUCGUGGUUAGAACGUUGGACCAGUAACCGAAAGGUUUCUAGAU